CCACCAUCCCUUCUCUUCUCACUCUUCCUCCUGCAGCCGCCGCCUCCUCUUCUCCCUCUCUUCCUCCUCCUCGCCCCACGCGGCCCCUCUUUUGCCGCUCGUCCUCCACCUCAUAUCCGGCAUCCUCGCCGCCGCCAUAGAUCGAGGAGGACGGCGCGAUGACGACCAUGAUGCAUCGGACAUCCCAGGUCGACGAUGCCAUGGAAGCCAUGAGAGCUGGCCGAGGAAGAGGGGGCAGGACUGCAUGCCAUGAUGGGCAUGGCGGCUGCGGGCGGAAGCAGCAUGGGUUGAAGGAGCGGCGGAUGUGGGUGGGGUCGAAGGUUGGGAGAGACUCGUCGGCUGGGCAACAGCGAGCGCCAAUGAGCGCAACGCAUGAGUUUCCAGAAGCGUCGUCUCCUACAAGACAGGCAAGGACGAUGUCGUCGCCCUCGCAGGUUCUAUGAUCUGUUCCAUCUCUGUUCUCCUCGUCAAGGUUAGCUGCUCUAUUCCCUAGGGGAGGGGAGGCGGCCAAUGACAGGGAGAAGGAGCAGGCCGUCAAGGAGUGCAACCAGAAGCUUUCCGGUGACUGGAAGUCUGAAACUCAAGACAGGGCAUAUUGUUUUGGUUAUGAGUGGUUGGAGAUAUUGUGGCUUGAUGUCCCUAGAGCAGUCGGACCCUUCCAAGAUAUGUGAGCCUGAUUUUUUCUGCAACUCUUCCACCAUAGUACAUGAAAAGGAUUAACUUCUACCUAUCGCCACCAUUUCUUGAGGAGGAUUGGUGAUUCCCCUUUAUUUUGUCACACUUUGGUGUCCUUGAGUUCAGAGUUCUUCUUUAUAUAUUCCCAGGUGCUAAAAUCCUAGGUGUCAAGGGCAUUGUGGUGGUGCGAUCCAUGUCUCCUGCGAGCACUCGGCAUGGCGUCCAUAGCCCCAAAGAGCAGGGCUUCAAGGCUGGACAACAAGCUUCACUUGAUGAAAGCAUUUCCCUUCUAAAACAGAUUACUGCUGAGAUUAAUGCACAAGUUAGUGUUGAUACUAAGGCGGUUAUGGGAUUGCUUGAUCUAUGCUAGGUCAAUAUGUCAGCCAACCACUUAAAAAUAAUCACUUGCAUUUCUUCCUCUGAACUCUGAAACCUGACGAGUGAGGACGCAUCAACAAUUUAGCAAUAGAAGAUGUCAGUGAACACGAGUACUCAGUCAAGAGCAAUAUAGCGGUAGAUACUUUACGGUGCAAUUUUAUAUAAGAAUAAAUAAAUGGCACUUAAGUUGUUAAGAAAUUGUUGUUGGAGUAUUGUCUCACCCUUUAUCUUCUCUCUCUAAAACUAUAGAUUGCUAUGGGCUGGAGCUCCAGGGGAGGAGGGAGGUAAGCAUAGAUGCAAUGGAUAUUGUUCGGAUAAAAAAUUGGGUGGAAACUGAGUAGUGACGGUGAGACUUAUUCCAUUUGUUUCUCCUUUGCCCUUUUAAUCAAGAACAAUGACCAGAGCUUACGUGGUUGUUGAAAUUUAAUUCUUUAAAGGAGAAAUAUUGAUAUCAUGCAAUGAUCAUUGCAGAGUAGGAUAGUUAUAGAGUUCUUCCUUAGUUUUCAUUGAACAAAGAUAGGGUCUGUGUGAUUUGUUCUAAUACCAAGUAAAUCUUGGUCUGCAUUUUUUUUCCUAUUUUCGUUUAAAAAAAUUGGGACUUGAUGCGAAAAAGGGUGUGUGUUGACAUGCAUGUAACCAAAUCAUGUAUUAAUGUGAGGUACUAUAUAUACCUGCCUAUCUCUCUGCAAAAGCUUACGGCCCUCUUUGAUCCAACUAGGAACAUCAAAACCAAAUGGGAUUUCAUUGAGUGUACUUCAGAUGCCCAUGCUGUAAGUACACCAUUACUAAUUAGUAUCUGAAUCUGCCUUGUAUAAUUAAGAUGCACUUUCUACAUAGCGCUGCUAUAUAUUGAUACUGUGUGAUCACUUAACAUAAAUCUGGCUAGGCGAUUUGCUCGCCUAACUCUCUGGUUGCAUAUAAUCUCAUCCGGAUAGUGACACGAUUUACUCUGUUUGAUCAAAUAGGUAGAAGCCGAAGCUGUUUUACGUGAAUCUAAUGACGUCCCUUCUGCUAUAAGCUAGGAAAUUGACAAAUUCAACAUUGGCAAUCUGGUCUUGUGCUCUACAUCCAAAAGCAUAUUCCGAAAGUGAGAUUCUUAUUGUGGAUGUUUCAGCGUCAACCUGAAUUUUGUUUAACCUACUACAGAAAGACCUUCUAGGGUGAUUAGCUGCAGUACUGUGACAAAUAAUCAAAAAAAUCAGUGUCUUCUCAUUUAAUAUUCUAGCUGCGACUACUUGACUACAAGUUUUAUGUUAAAUUUUUCUGUAUAGCUUGCACAAACUGAGUGAGAUCGUGAAUCAUCAUCUCACAUUUUUUUCUCUUGAAAAGUAGGUGUCAUCUCCUACAUUUUUUUUCUUAGAAUCAAGCAUGUUUCUAAGCCUUGCCUGAAAGUUUCCAUCGCUCGGCUCCUGAAGGCAUGUGAUUUAGAUUCUCUUAUGUCAGUGUGUUUGUAUUCAGAAAAUUUAGGUAUGAUGCCUCAUUCAGAUUCUCUUAUGUCAACGUGUUUGUAUUCAGAAAAAUAAGGCAUGAUGCCCCAUUUAGCUUAUCCUAUCUCGGUGUGUUUGUGCUCAGAAAAUUAAUUUGCUUAUUUUUGCUUUUUGAGGGCUGUAAUAAUAGAGAAUUUCAUUGUUGAAAACUUAUAAAGAGAUCGAGGAUAAAAAAUUGCAAGUAAAGUCCACUUUUCUACUGUAUUUUUAUGCGCACCUACAGUGUAGUUCUUAGCUAUGCUGCGACUAUUCUAAUCGAUAGGGCAAAAAACUAUGGGAGGAAUCAAAGGCAUGCAUCUGACCUCAGGUACACGUACCAAUUGAAAUAAGAGGUGAUAAUGUUGUCAUAUAGCUAUACUGGAUUCAUUAUCAACUUAACAACCAACCUGGACGGCAAAAGUUUACUUCACUUGGUAACAGGAGUUGGACACCGAAAGCUUUGCUAUCUAAUUUUCUUCUCUGUAGAGGAAAACAAGUACGCUUAUAGUUGGACACUAAAAGUCUGCUAAAAUUAUUUUUAGAGCUGUAUGGUGUAUACUUUUAUAAUGUAAAUCCUUGCUCAUGUUACACCUUUCUUGUUAUUAUGGCGAAAAAAUUAGCAUAUUAACCAUUUCUACAUUUUUUUUGUUCUUUUCUUUGAAUACAGUAGUGUCCAGGUUUAUGGAUUCCUAUAUUUUUAUUGUCAAUCUAACAUACUUGUGUCACUCCCGUCCUGUUUUAGCUCUGUUGAUGGAUGAUUUCUGCCAUUUAUUUUUAUUCCCAUUUUAUAUAUUCUGAUUACUGCUUCAUUAUUUAUCAACUGAGGCAUGCUUGUUGUGCACUUCUUACUGAUGAUGAUCCUAAUGUAUGUUUGAGAAAAGAACUCAAUGUGCAUAUUUAUCCUUAUUUUGUUCAAUUAUAAUGGGAGGAAGUAACUUAAUUGACUGAUAGUGUUGUUAGUAGUGCUAGACAAUAGGCAAUUUACUAGAGCAGUUCAAGCAAGAAUACUUCCAGAAUCCAUCUUGUGAUCUGUUGGUAACAACACCAAGUUUGCCAGUUUGUUCAACCAAACAAAGUGUAUAACAUGCUUCAUUUUUGCAGGUAUAGAAGAAGGAAAAGAGAGCAUUGGAUUUUGAGUUAAUGAUAAUGAAAUAUAUUUUAAAAAAGAGUUAAUGAAAUAUGCUCAAUCAAGAAAACUCAAGGUCGGUUCAGUCCACAGAAAAGAAUAAGGUGAAACCUCUUGUGUUUUUAUUAGUGCACACAUGGCUCUAAAAUUGGGUAGCUGAUAUUUAUUUAUUCACUCAACGUUGUGUUAGGCAUAGACUUCUCUCUCUCUCUCUCUCUCUCUCUCUCUCUCUCUCUCUCUCAAACCAGCUUCUCGUGCAAGAUCUUAUCCUAUGCCCAGUUAUUUUGUGGGUAUCGUUUUAAAAAAAAUUAUCUUUGUUGCUCCGCUUAGCUACACCAUCCUUCAGUGUUUUUUAUGGAAUCUAGAAAAACAAAGUGCUUUGCUUCUUUCCUUACUUAGUUCAAGGAUCCAGCUGUGCGUUGGACAGUGUUGCUGAGGGUCCAGUUUCUAAUUUUUUAGUAGCAGAGAUGUGUAUAAUAUGGAUAACUGAACUGGUGUUUAGGCGUUUCAGUGCAGGACUGUUACUUGCUCGAUUAGUUAGAUGAACUGGUGUUUAGAGAUUUCAGUGCAGAGCGAUGUUUCAGUUUUGAUUGCAGGGCUUCGAGGUGCACCGUGAGGGCUGAAAUGAGUCUUAUACCGGGUCUUUCCUGAAUUUAGUUAGCCUAAAUACUUCCAGAAUCCCUCUUGCAAUAUGUAA
Triticum aestivum (bread wheat) is the source of this 4342-nucleotide RNA transcript. RefSeq lists it as uncharacterized. The record is from RefSeq and is a predicted model, not a curated record. The transcript has 5 exons. Lineage: Eukaryota; Viridiplantae; Streptophyta; Magnoliopsida; Poales; Poaceae.